AGGGUUGUAGUUAAAAAUAACAUUUGAAUUGCACUCAAAAAGUACUGAUUACAGUCUACCUUA
RNAcentral lists this transfer RNA (63 nucleotides) under Ruspolia dubia. RNAcentral describes it as "tRNA-Ala". It matches the Rfam family "tRNA". Rfam says of the family: Transfer RNA (tRNA) molecules are approximately 80 nucleotides in length. Their secondary structure includes four short double-helical elements and three loops (D, anti-codon, and T loops). RNAcentral also lists the same sequence under 1 other name. Lineage: Eukaryota; Metazoa; Arthropoda; Insecta; Orthoptera; Tettigoniidae. The record is from RNAcentral.